UAAUGAGCAACGAACGUCCAGUCCAUCUC
This 29-nucleotide non-coding RNA is filed under the name Mus musculus (house mouse). The record is from RNAcentral. Lineage: Eukaryota; Metazoa; Chordata; Mammalia; Rodentia; Muridae.